CCUACGGGCGGCAGCAGUAGGGAAUCUUCCACAAUGGACGAAAGUCUGAUGGAGUAACGCCGCGUGAGUGAAGAAGGGUUUCGGCUCGUAAAGCUUUGUUGGUAGUGAAGAAAGAUAGAGUUCGUAACUGGCCUCUAUUUGACGGUAAUUACUUAGCAUGUCCCGGCUAACUACGUGCCAGCAGCCGCGGUAAUACGUAGGUGGCAAGCGUUGUCCGGAUUUAUUGGGCGUAAAGCGAGUGCAGGCGGUCCAAUAAGUCUGAUGUGAAAGCCUUCGGCUCAACCGGAGAAUUGCAUCCGAAACUGUUGAACUUGAGUGCAGAAGAGGAGGGUGGAACUCCAUGUGUAGCGGUGGAAUGCGUAGAUAUAUGGAAGAACCCCCAUGGCGAAGGCAGCUCACUGGUCUGCAACUGACGCUGAGGCUCGAAAGCAUGGGUAGCGAACAGGAUUAGAUACCCCAGUAGUC
Molecule: ribosomal RNA, 465 nt
Filed under: uncultured bacterium
Lineage: Bacteria
Description: partial 16S ribosomal RNA
Rfam family: Bacterial small subunit ribosomal RNA
Source: RNAcentral